CAACAACCUCCAAGACACCAUUACUGACUAUGGGACAACCCCAAAUGGAAGUACCCCCAUCCCCAACCAUCACAGAAGUUUUCAAAGAACUCUUCCUAGAAGAGUCACUAGGGAAAAAAAUCAAAACUGAGUAAGUAAAUUAUAUUAAUAAACAUACUUUUUAUUAUAAUUGUAAUAGAACAAUAAGUAAGAACUAAACAUACUUAAUCAUUCUAUAUGAACAACAGAUCCACCAGAAGUGCAAUAGCAACAAGGUGAAGAAAGAAGCUCUUUUGAAAAAGGAUCAGUUGAUUUUUACCAUAGUUGGAGUAUAUUUUUUGUAGCUCCAUUGUAUAGUUAUGACUAUGGUAAAAAUGAAUAGACAAUCAAACAAUUAUUAUGUUUCAUAUAGCAACACUUACUAACAUUUUGUCCACAUCUUUUGAGCAAUCUCAUCUACACAGCAAUGAUGUAUGUGCCAAAUUAUAUACAACGUCUUUUUGCAGGUUUCUGUUAGCCACAACAUCUACAUGAAGGGUCUUUUAAAACACUCUUAACAUUCAUUUCAUGUUCAUAUGUAUGAACAAUCAUUUGUAACUUUCUAUUCCAAAUUAAUUUUGUAACACACUUUUCUACUUAUCUUACUACUCUUCUCAUAUAGCUACCUAAUU
RNAcentral lists this long non-coding RNA (650 nucleotides) under Theobroma cacao (cacao). RNAcentral describes it as "long non-coding RNA (TCAC_LNC005257)". The record is from RNAcentral. Lineage: Eukaryota; Viridiplantae; Streptophyta; Magnoliopsida; Malvales; Malvaceae.